AUACCCCAUAGUGUACUUUCUACAGUGCUCGACCACUGCACCCCCGCGAUUCGGGGAGAAGACGACGACUUCCGCGAUCUCCCCGUACAUGUACACCGCCCCUCCUUGUGUCUAUAAAAGGGGGAGGCGGGCUCUAUCUUAUCCAUCCGGGCAGAACACCACACUCAGCACCACUCACAGAGCACACACACUCUUCUGAGCCCCGAUAUUGGCACUCGCCUCAAUCAACUCCUCCUCUAGCAGAGACCUGAGAGCUUCCCUCCCUCUCUCGCCUCGCUUGUACCUCCUACUACAGGCACCCCCGGUGCAACAUAGUACAGUGCACUCGCACACUCUUUUGCUGGACGUACGGCCGGAACUAGGAUAAACCCGUGUGUGACUGUGUUGCCUCUUGCAUCAAUCAUUUAGGACUAGAGACACGCAACAUCAUCACAAGUUGGUGCCGGACCACCAGGUCAGGACACCGACACAACUAGAUUUCGUUAGAGGCAUCAUUUCUUUCUCCAAGAUGCAACAGGUUUGUUUACUUACCUUUUUCAGUUAAAGAGGAGGGUGGACACCUGCUAUGAUGGCCUGUUGCAGCUGAGGCCUUUUUCAGCAGAGGUCAUACCUGAUGACAGGAGUAACCAGAAAUUAGCUCUUGUUGCUAAGACACGCGCGCAUGUACCACCAUGCUCACAAUUAGAUUAUGACAUUGCACGUGUGCUGUGGUCAAAUAGGUAAACAAAUUUCAGAAACUUUUCUAAGUCAAAUAUGAAUUUUCUUAACCUUUCCUUCAACUUUCAGCGGUACCUAAACCCUGCUUAAAACUUUCUGCUGCCAUGAACGAUUGGAACAUUUAUACUCCAAGCAUGUGCUGGAAAAGCUUGAUUCGCCGGGAGAACAUCGUGUACUUGACAUUCAUAAUCAUUUUACAUCUAAAAAAUAUUUUUUUAAAUGCUUCGCACCGACAGGACAUAUGGAUUCAUUUGCACUAUACGCUCAGUGUAUGUUGUGGAAUCAUCAAUGGAAGGCUGACAAUAAACAAUACAUUAUUCUUUCGGAAGGGAAUGUGAACCAUUUGAAAUUAAACAAGACUGGCAUCCUGAGCAAAGAACUCGCUGGAAAUAUAGAGGGCACCAGGCUGAUUUUUGUGCCUAUCCAAGAUAAUAAACAUUGGUCCUGCUGGUGAUAGACCUUGAGCAAAAAAUGUGGUCUGGUACUGAACUCCAAGCCACAAGUUAGUGUAUAUUAUUGCGCAUCAGAUGUGUUUGAAGUAGUGUGCGGUUAUUUGCUGAAGAUGAGUGUAGACACAUCUAUCUGGCCAUUAUCAUUUAUGCGUGGUCUUGCUGAUCAAGCGAACGACUUUGAUUGCGGGGUCCAUGUGCUGAUGUGCAUUGAAGGUUUUGAAAGAAAGGAAAUAUAUGGUUAUGAUAAGGAAAUGGUUUUGCUGUACUGGAAGAAAGCUGCAGUUGGGCUCAUCUACAACGAAGCAAAUAAGGCCCAGCUUGGACGAUCAUGUCUUGCAGUUCUUCUGGCUUCAUCUUCUUGCACGAUUAUGUCUUGUUUCUCGGGCAUAACCAAUCACUUUGUUUCCAUGGUAAGGAAUAUCCGCAGGUGAAACCAAAUCAUGUCUAUCUCACUGAUGGCUCUAAGUCAGCAUCUAUGAAGUGCAAGUUGCUUUGCCGCCUUGUUGUUGGCAUCCUCGACUUAGAGACCAAGAUCAUGGAUGAAAUUGUAUUUCCCCGGGAAUGGUCCAACAGCAUGGCUCCUUUGCUGAUCAUACCGAACCCCGGAAAGAUGGCUUGCAUUUCAUAGUAUUGUACCUCUUCCGGUUUGAACAAUUGUUUGGUAAUGUCUUCUUUGUAUUGUGAGAACCGACUAGUUGGUUGUUGCAUAAAUUGCUAUUUGAACUGAGUACCCCUUGGCAGCCAUGUCCUUGCUGCACACGCCGCAUUCCUGUGGGACACAGAACGCCAACAGGCCUAGGAGCUUGGCUAUGCGGGGUUCGCGCGCUCCAGCUCUCGUUUCUGGCUUCGGCAACCUGAAGUCCUGAACUGCCUGUGUCAUCUCCGAAUCACUGAAUGAAGCUAGCAUGAUAGUAGUCCUUGUGUUUGUUUCAGUAGCUUACUUAUUAUAUAGUCAACAUAGGCUGGUGCGGCCUGUCUGUACUUGUUUAGCUUCAACAAUGUGCAAGCAGAUCUCAGGUUU
Long non-coding RNA from Panicum virgatum (switchgrass), 2190 nucleotides. RefSeq lists it as uncharacterized. The record is from RefSeq and is a predicted model, not a curated record. NCBI's taxonomy places the organism in Eukaryota, Viridiplantae, Streptophyta, Magnoliopsida, Poales, Poaceae. The transcript is spliced from 5 exons.